ACUUCAGCAGCAAAAGGCUCCCAUAUCAAGCGAGAGAAAGAGCACUCAAAGAAGAGAUGAUGGUGAGUCUCUAUUUCCAGAUUACAAAAGACACAUGUUCUGGAGACAUUUAACCCCCAACGCCUCAAGCGAUCCUUGGUUGGCAGUCUUCUCCGCAAAGCCAACCAUGAUAUAAACGCAUUACGUGGAAUAUGUUCCUUGAACCAAAUAGUAUUGUGCCAAUGUAAUGAGAUAGUUUUUUCUCGCCUCAACAUUAUAUAGGCUCAUUCGAAAAAAUAACAAAAAAAAUAAAAUUAGGUUCAAAUUGUGUAAUAGCGAGUAUAAGUUAAUAUUCAAUGGGAUUUGUCAUAGAAAUUAAAGAGAAGACACAACUGAAAUAUAUAGUCUUUUCUUAGUUCCGUAAGCUUGUCUUCUCAGGAAAAUAUAGAGUUGUUUUGUCCAUUGCUUCAAACAGUCACAAAUCUCAAAUCACAGAGUGACCUUUUGUAUUUUCGGUUGCAGUUCCCUUCUUUAAUCUAUACAUCUCCUAGCUUUUAAUCAAUUCACUAUUAAUGGUCCCGAUUCUUAACCUUCCGCGAACCCUCUUUUUAUAUACUUCAUCUUCAACGAGGAACUCUUCAACUAAAAAAAACUCAUCGACUGCUCUACUUUAUAACAUCUCCUUGAAAAUGGAUCUCUCUGCGGCUCCAGUUGCUCAAAACCGGCCUCUGUCACUCAACCUUGGACUCUCUCUGUAAAUUCCACAGUAAACAUACAAAAUUUGACAAAUGUUCAGUAUUCCUUCGGUGGCAGCAAAGACGGUUUUGGCCUGGGUAAAGGUUAUAUGAGGAAUAUAGCUGGAAGGAUUGAUGGACGCUGUUUUCAUAGUGGAAAUUUCAUCAUCAUUGUCGAAAAAUGCUUAGAGGUUGAUUGUUUGUGGUUUUUGCUUUAGUUUUUGGUUUUUGUUUUUGCAAAAACCAUUUUUCAUCCAAUCAAGUUUUAGUUUUUAGUUUUUGUUUUUGUAGAAACCAUUUGAUUUGCCAAUCAAGAUUUCUAAUAAAUAGAUUCCCUAAAAUUUAGGGAAACUAGUUUUUGAAAA
This is a long non-coding RNA of Brassica rapa (field mustard), 1078 nucleotides long. RefSeq lists it as uncharacterized. The record is from RefSeq and is a predicted model, not a curated record. Lineage: Eukaryota; Viridiplantae; Streptophyta; Magnoliopsida; Brassicales; Brassicaceae.